AAAUGAAUUGACGGGGACCCGCACAAGCGGUGGAGCAUGUGGUUUAAUUCGAAGCAACGCGAAGAACCUUACCAGGUCUUGACAUCCUUCUGACAAUACCCUGUAAUGGGGUACUUCCUUCGGGACAGAAGAGACAGGUGGUGCAUGGUUGUCGUCAGCUCGUGUCGUGAGAUGUUGGGUUAAGUCCCGCAACGAGCGCAACCCUUAUCUUAUGUAGCCAGCACGCGAUGGUGGGCACUCAUGAGAGACUGCCAGGGUGAACCUGGAGGAAGGUGGGGAUGACGUCAAAUCAUCAUGCCCCUUAUGACCUGGGCUACACACGUGCUACAAUGGCGUAAACAGAGUGAAGCGAGACUGUGAAGUCGAGCAAAUCACAAAAAUAACGUCCCAGUUCGGACUGUGGUCUGCAACCCGACCACACGAAGCUGGAAUCGCUAGUAAUCGCAGAUCAGAAUGCUGCGGUGAAUACGUUCCCGGGUCUUGUACACACCGCCCGU
This 497-nucleotide ribosomal RNA is filed under the name uncultured bacterium. RNAcentral's name for it is "bacterial SSU rRNA". It matches the Rfam family "Bacterial small subunit ribosomal RNA", at positions 903 to 1397 of the family's 1533-position model. The record is from RNAcentral.